Molecule: long non-coding RNA, 701 nt
Organism: Thunnus maccoyii (southern bluefin tuna)
Lineage: Eukaryota; Metazoa; Chordata; Actinopteri; Scombriformes; Scombridae
Exons: 2
Source: RefSeq, a predicted model, not a curated record
CAGAACUUCCGUGUUCUGUUCCAGAAGUAACAAAACUAACUGCCCAAGUCACACUGGUCAAACAAACCUACCAGUUCAAAUAGUUGACUUAAAAAAUGACCUCAAAAUGAAGAGCGAAGAGGAUAUCUACUGUAAUUUAGAGACACUCCUUGUAUUAUUGUGUUUAAUAAUGGCAUCUCCAAACACGCAAGAAAUAUUGGAAAUAUCAGAAGAAAAUCUGGAGCCAGUAGUGUUAUUAGGAGACAACACAAGGGAGCUUUUCAUCUUUGUCAUGAACUGGAAAAUGAAGUCAGAUCUAGUUUUGUAAUCUUCUCUCAAUUUGCACCAGAGCAGAGAAAAGGUUACAGCACUUAUAAGACAUCAAAAUACUAAUUUACAAGGACCGCAUCUCUCCAGGGGAGCGACUGAUGGUCACUUUGAGGUUUUUGGCAACAGAUGGGUGUUGCGACAAUAAGAAGCAUUAUUCCAUAAACCUGUGAAACCAGUACCUGACCAGUACCUGACGUUAGGUCCCUCCUCAGUCUGCCUGCACUAAACCUCCACAUCAGGCGUAUUGUACCAAAGAGAUGCUGCUUAUCAGUGAAACAAUGUAAACUUUAAACCUUUAAACAUUCAAACCACCGGGACAUGUUUCUGAUUGUUGUCACUGAUAAAUAUGUUACAUAAUAAUAUUUACAACUAAUAAAAAUGUUGAUGAAUUG